GGAGGUGGCAGCAAUCUGGCUGCAACAUCUGUCAUCCCCACUGAUAGACAGGGUUGAUUUGGAUGCUCUGGCUGGCUAGGUGGGUGUCCCUCACUCCCUCACUGUGCCAUGUAUGUCCCCCCUGAAGCUUCACACUUGGUGGGAGAGGAUGACCUUCCCUGAAUAGAGGAGGACCAGUUUUCUGUCCAGGUUAUCUGAGAGUGCCUGUACUUCCCUGUUAGAACCUCCAAACAAGCUCUCAAGAAUGUGUUAUUUCAUGGGGUUCAGGAUAUGGCUCUGUUGGUAACAUGAGGCAAGCAUGAAGACACAAGUUUGAUCUCCAGACCCCACAUAAAAUCUGAACGUGGUGGUGUAUGUCCACAAUGCCAGCUCUGGGCUUCUGG
Molecule: small nuclear RNA, 383 nt
Filed under: Jaculus jaculus (lesser Egyptian jerboa)
Lineage: Eukaryota; Metazoa; Chordata; Mammalia; Rodentia; Dipodidae
Description: 7SK RNA (ENSJJAG00000001949.1)
Rfam family: 7SK RNA (bases 1-320)
About the family: 7SK was discovered as an abundant small nuclear RNA in the mid-70s but a possible function has only recently been suggested. Two independent studies have found that 7SK RNA binds the CDK9/cyclin T complex (known as elongation factor P-TEFb).
Source: RNAcentral